AGCUUUGCGCAGUGGCAGUGUCGUAGCCAAUGAGGUUUAUCCGAGGUGCGAUUAUUGCUAAUUGAAAACUUUUCCCAAAAACA
RNAcentral lists this small nuclear RNA (83 nucleotides) under Tupaia belangeri chinensis (Chinese tree shrew). RNAcentral describes it as "Tupaia chinensis (Chinese tree shrew) U4 spliceosomal RNA". It matches the Rfam family "U4 spliceosomal RNA", at positions 1 to 82 of the family's 138-position model. From Rfam's summary of the family: U4 small nuclear RNA (U4 snRNA) is a component of the major U2-dependent spliceosome. The structure of U4 snRNA from yeast and human has been reported. U4 snRNA presents a k-turn RNA motif in the 5p-SL related to recognition of Snu13 protein. Lineage: Eukaryota; Metazoa; Chordata; Mammalia; Scandentia; Tupaiidae. The record is from Rfam by way of RNAcentral.